AACCUGCGGAAGGAUCAUUACCGAGUGAGGGCCCUCUGGGUCCAACCUCCCACCCGUGUUUAUUUUACCUUGUUGCUUCGGCGGGCCCGCCUUAACUGGCCGCCGGGGGGCUUACGCCCCCGGGCCCGCGCCCGCCGAAGACACCCUCGAACUCUGUCUGAAGAUUGUAGUCUGAGUGAAAAUAUAAAUUAUUUAAAACUUUCAACAACGGAUCUCUUGGUUCCGGCAUCGAUGAAGAACGCAGCGAAAUGCGAUACGUAAUGUGAAUUGCAAAUUCAGUGAAUCAUCGAGUCUUUGAACGCACAUUGCGCCCCCUGGUAUUCCGGGGGGCAUGCCUGUCCGAGCGUCAUUUCUGCCCUCAAGCACGGCUUGUGUGUUGGGCCCCGUCCUCCGAUCCCGGGGGACGGGCCCGAAAGGCAGCGGCGGCACCGCGUCCGGUCCUCGAGCGUAUGGGGCUUUGUCACCCGCUCUGUAGGCCCGGCCGGCGCUUGCCGAUCAACCCAAAUUUUUAUCCAGGUG
This 519-nucleotide unclassified non-coding RNA is filed under the name Penicillium sp. MK6-2020. RNAcentral describes it as "sequence contains 18S rRNA gene, ITS1, 5.8S rRNA gene, ITS2, 28S rRNA gene". The stretch from base 197 to 349 matches the Rfam family "5.8S ribosomal RNA". Lineage: Eukaryota; Fungi; Ascomycota; Eurotiomycetes; Eurotiales; Aspergillaceae. The record is from RNAcentral.